AGAAGCCUUCUGAUGUGAAGUCAAUGGCUGGGAGAUUCAAAAGAUGUAGAAGAAAAGACAAUGAUGAACCAAGAAAAAAUGAAGGAAAGCAUUAAAAAAAGGAGUCACAAUGACAUGUUUCAGUUGUCAUCAUGUUGGGCACAGCAAAAAGGACUGCAAAUCAGGGGUAAGCAUUUUUUUUCUUUUCAGUUUUUUAGUUUAAUCCUUCUUAGACUUCCAACUCUUUUUCCUAUAUGUAUAUCCCUCUCAAUAGCCAACUACGACCACUAAAUCAAGGACAAUGACUCAACCUAACACUCAACAGUCCUCUUCUUUAUGUUCAGAAAUUUCAAGAGUUAGAGGAACAAGAAGACAUAUAGCUGGUUCUUCAACUGCUACAUCAAUGGAUGCAACUACAAAAGCAAUAUCUGCUUCAUUUGGAAGAAAAAGAACAAGAGACAUGAAAUUUGGUGUUUAAACAGACAUACAAUCUGGAAGACAAGUCAGUAAUUUUAAGAGACCAAGUGAAAGAGUUAUCUCAAGUGGGACAACUUUAAAGGAUGCAUCACUAAUAAAUAUUGAUUUUGGAUUCAAGCCAUUUGAUUUGGAAUGGAAAGGGAAAAAUGCUAUUACGGGGAACCAACUUCAGCAAAUGCAGCACUCAAAAAGAUGCAAACCAAGUCUAAAAAUAAGAGUUCAACUCAAUCACGAGAUGGCUAGUUGAUGUGGUUUCUGUUGGACAGCCUUCUUUUGGGUUAUUUUGAUGUAUGUUAGCAUUUAGACUUGCCAUUUACACUAUCUAAAAGUUGAUUAUUUUGAUAUA
Molecule: long non-coding RNA, 802 nt
Organism: Lycium ferocissimum
Lineage: Eukaryota; Viridiplantae; Streptophyta; Magnoliopsida; Solanales; Solanaceae
Exons: 2
Source: RefSeq, a predicted model, not a curated record